Hemicordylus capensis (graceful crag lizard) is the source of this 3318-nucleotide long non-coding RNA. RefSeq lists it as uncharacterized. The record is from RefSeq and is a predicted model, not a curated record. NCBI's taxonomy places the organism in Eukaryota, Metazoa, Chordata, Lepidosauria, Squamata, Cordylidae. The transcript has 4 exons.
GAAGUUUCUGGUGGGAGCAAAAGGGGUUGAUUUCUGCCAUCCCUGGAGCCGUUCCCAUCACUGAGUGAGAGAGAGGAGCUGGGAGAGGAGCUGCUUCCUUCUCGCCUCUGCUUUCCUCUGCCGGGAUUAGCAGAAAGGUUGAUCUCCAGAUGAUGCAGUUAAGGGCUUCAAGGACACCAGCAGGCCUUUCUCUCCUGGGCGCCUUCAGCAUCGUGCCAGGUGCAGGAUAAAGAUCAUUAUGGAGGGCCUGGUCUCCACUUGGCCUAGCAGCCUUCCCUGAGCUGGGCCUGUGCCAAAGUAAAAGUGCCCAGGAGAAGGAGUGGGAAUCGGAAAAGAAUGAAGGCGAAGCAAGCAAUGGAGGAUCCUGAUAGCUGUGUCUCCUGAUCCAUACUACAGUCCUGUAAGUGUUGAAGAACCUCUUGAAUUUGUCUUCCCAGAAGAUGGAGAGGUAAGUCUGACUCCUACCACCUCCAGAGGCCAGACUGUCAGAGAGCUACAUAGGAAAAGACAGCAGUCCACAGAUAUCAAAGGUGUUGAAAAAGGAGCGUACUUCCUCUCUGUUGCUACUGAGUGCAGCACUGAACGCUGCCAAUACGAGAAUGCAGGUUUAGGCUAGGCAGUAGGAAUGCUUUCCCAAAUGGGAGAAGGGUUGCCAAGGUCACCUCAUGGAGUCCUGGGCUCCUCUUUGCUGAUGGUUUUCAGACAGAAGCCAGAUAACGAUGAUCUCCAAGGAGCCUUCCCACUCUAAAAUGCAAAGAUUCUUCUGUGAUCGUCACAUUGAGUCUGCAAGGGAUCUGCAAGUCCCGCCCCCCCCGACACCCAGACUGAUUCUAUUUGCCCCCCAAGUUGACUGCAGUUAUGAGGAAGCAGAUUUAAGCUAAGCCUUGAGAAUAAUUUCCCACGGGAGAGAUGUCUGCAGAGGCACACACAACCAUCCCAAGUACAGAUAUAGAUAGUAUAGAGGUACACUCGCACAUAUACUUGUGAACACUUUUUUAAUGUCAAUAAUUGGUAAAGAGGGACCAAUGAUGCAUGGAUUUAUUUUUCUGAUUGAAUCCCUUCCCUUGAUGGGAGUUGCAGCCCAACAACAUCUGGGACCAAGUUUGAGAAUCUCUUGUCUGUUGGCUUCCCAGAGGCAUCCAGUGAGCCCCUAUGGGGAAACAGCAUGCUGGAUUAGAUAGGCCUUGGGUCUGAUCCAGCAGGGCUGUUAGGUUCUUAACAGUCAGGUAUGAUGGGAGUUGUAGUCCAACUUCUAUUUCCAGUCAUUCUCUUCAGCCUGACCUACUUUACAGGACUAUUGUGAGGAUAGAAGAAUUGCAUAUUUGGAGGUCCCGGCAGUAAGGGCAGAUAUAAAUUUCAGAAGCCAAGGGUUCUUAAAAUUGGGUCCCCAGAUGUUUUGGGACUAGAAUUCCCAUCAUCCUCAGCUACAAAACCUUGCAGGAGUAUUGCAUGUCUUGUUGAUCAAAAGGGAAUCAUGCAUGUUUGGAAUGGAAGGGUCCUUGUAAGAGCCCUGAAAAGUCAGAAGUUAGAUUACACAGAAGUUAUAUUAGAAGUUACAAAUAUUUUAAAGUUGAUGCUUAUGCUUUAUUUUAAAAAUAUUUAUAUAUUUCAUAUUGAAAAGACUCUUGGUUAAAACAACGCAGGGUUGUGUACAGCCCAUCGGAUCCCUCUACUACCUCUUGGUUUCUCCCAAGACGUGCUCAAGAGAGAUUUCCAUAGAGAUCUGCUUGCACAGACAUUACACUUUCAUCUUGCUUCUGAAUCCUUGCAAUAGCUGCCACUUGAAGCACUAGAGGGGUGGGGAGGGAUAGCUAUUCACAGCAAUUAGCCAAGAAGCUAGGGAUGACCCACCUGUAGCUCAGCAGCUGCUGUUGGACUAGAAUUAGCAUCAUCCCCAGCUGCUGUGUUGAGACUACAGAUGAUCACCCCCAUCAAAACAGGUGGCUGGGGAUGGUAGAAGUUUUAGUAUGGUGGGAGUUGUAAUCCAACACAGUGAUAACAAAUAUAGUCCCCUGAUGCAAAUCCAUGGUGAAAAGCAUCGUGAAAGAAAGCAUCAGGGUUUGGGCAACAGCUUGUAUAAGGGGGCUGGAUAAAGAAAUCAACAUGAAAAUAGGAAGGUUGAAACUAAGGGCGAAUAAGGGAAGGCCAUUAAAGUAACACAUUGAUCUGAAUUUAAGAUGCUAUUACCCCAAAUGAUUUGAUGUUAAAACUCAGGGUCACGACGUAAAUUCAGAAUCCUGCUGUUUUAGGUAAGUAAAUGUUUAACAUAUAUUAAACUGCCACCCAUUCCUGGAGGGCCGGCUGCCCGUUGGUUCUUUCCUCCUGCCUCCCAAAUGACUUGAUGUUAAAAUUCAGGUUCAUGACAUAAAUUCAGAAUCCUGCUGUUUUAGCAAAGAAGAGCUUCCCUUUCAACAUCUAACAAAGGAUCCCAUCCUGCUUCUGAUGCACUGUUAUCAACGCGAGUGCUGAGGGUUGCCUCGGCCGGGUAAAUAUGCAUUGACACAAUGACAAAUCUCUCCGGUGGCUGAGCGGAAUGGUGGGCCCUAGAGAAGGCAGGAAGAGGCUGAGGAGAGCAACCCCACAACAGAUGCCCAUUCCCUUUUUGACUAGGUUUGCAAAAGCCUCGUGUACACUCAAGGUCAUGAGGCUUUUGCAAAGAGGGGGCAUAGUUUCCCGGGAAACGACUUCACCCCAGGAGUGGAAUCCACACCUUAGUUUACAGAGCUCCCUUCAAACUAGUUACUGAACUUGCAGCCCAGGUUUGCACCCGUUCCCUCUGUCCCAUCUCUUGAUUCCGAGUCUGGGUCCCCACCCCACCCCUUCCCCUGGCUCUGCAUCCAGUGCAGGGUGCAAAUGUCACGUCCAGUCCUGGCAGGGUGCAAGAAACAAGGCUGGACCCCACAGUGAACCAUUCUGUAAGGCCAAGCAGGGGGGCAGAGGGUGUGCUAGUGAAAGCGAUCCCCGCCCUCUCUUGGCCUUCUGCAGGGACACCUUGGCAUCCACUCACCCCCCUCAGGUGACAGUGUGGGAUUAGCCGGUCGCCAUUUGGGGCCGAGUAGGAAUUUUCCCCAUCCACCCGGAUUGGCCUGGAGGUGGCUGGUUUUUUGCCUACUCUGCACUGUUGCACUGGAAGGGAUUUCUGAUCUGGCGGAUGUUAGGAGUGGUGCCGCUAAAUAGUGUAGCCCCUUGGUCACCAUGGCAGGUCCGAGGAGGGGAUGUAGUGCCCCACCCCAUUGGUGGCAGGUGCGAUUUCCCCCAGCUACACUCUAGUUCUCUGCUAAAAUGAGUCAAUAAAGUGAUGGCCCUAGUUUCAACCCA